Molecule: ribosomal RNA, 254 nt
Filed under: uncultured bacterium
Lineage: Bacteria
Description: partial 16S ribosomal RNA
Rfam family: Bacterial small subunit ribosomal RNA
Source: RNAcentral
UACGCAGGGUGCGAGCGUUGUCCGGAAUUAUUGGGCGUAAAGAGCUCGUAGGCGGUCUGUCGCGUCGGUCGUGAAAACUUGGGGCUUAACCCUGAGCUUGCGGUCGAUACGGGCAUGACUGGAGUUCGGCAGGGGAGACUGGAAUUCCUGGUGUAGCGGUGAAAUGCGCAGAUAUCAGGAGGAACACCGGUGGCGAAGGCGGGUCUCUGGGCCGAUACUGACGCUGAGGAGCGAAAGCGUGGGGAGCGAACAGG